GUUCGGCGGCCGAAAGUCCCUCCAGAGCCGAAAGUCAAGCAGGUUCGGCGGCACCUUCGGCGGCCGAAGCUCCCAGACAGAGGCGAAACUCAUGCAUGUUCGGCGGCACUUUCGGCGGCUGAAACUCCCAGACAGAGACGAAAGUCUCCUUUCGGGGGCAGGCUUCGGCAGCCGAAAGGCUUGCCUCCCCAGCCAUGUUCGACGGCCGAAAGUCCUUCGGCUGCCGAACCU
RNAcentral lists this long non-coding RNA (231 nucleotides) under Manihot esculenta (cassava). RNAcentral's name for it is "long non-coding RNA (MESC_LNC010805)". Lineage: Eukaryota; Viridiplantae; Streptophyta; Magnoliopsida; Malpighiales; Euphorbiaceae. The record is from RNAcentral.